RNAcentral lists this ribosomal RNA (2802 nucleotides) under Escherichia coli. RNAcentral describes it as "partial 23S ribosomal RNA". It matches the Rfam family "Bacterial large subunit ribosomal RNA". Lineage: Bacteria; Pseudomonadati; Pseudomonadota; Gammaproteobacteria; Enterobacterales; Enterobacteriaceae. The record is from RNAcentral.
GGGUUGUGAGGUUAAGCGACUAAGCGUACACGGUGGAUGCCCUGGCAGUCAGAGGCGAUGAAGGACGUGCUAAUCUGCGAUAAGCGUCGGUGAGGUGAUAUGAACCGUUAUAACCGGCGAUUUCCGAAUGGGGAAACCCAGUGUGUUUCGACACACUAUCAUUAACUGAAUCCAUAGGUUAAUGAGGCGAACCGGGGGAACUGAAACAUCUAAGUACCCCGAGGAAAAGAAAUCAACCGAGAUUCCCCCAGUAGCGGCGAGCGAACGGGGAGGAGCCCAGAGCCUGAAUCAGUGUGUGUGUUAGUGGAAGCGUCUGGAAAGGCGCGCGAUACAGGGUGACAGCCCCGUACACAAAAAUGCACAUACUGUGAGCUCGAUGAGUAGGGCGGGACACGUGGUAUCCUGUCUGAAUAUGGGGGGACCAUCCUCCAAGGCUAAAUACUCCUGACUGACCGAUAGUGAACCAGUACCGUGAGGGAAAGGCGAAAAGAACCCCGGCGAGGGGAGUGAAAAAGAACCUGAAACCGUGUACGUACAAGCAGUGGGAGCCUCUUAAUGGGGUGACUGCGUACCUUUUGUAUAAUGGGUCAGCGACUUAUAUUCUGUAGCAAGGUUAACCGAAUAGGGGAGCCGAAGGGAAACCGAGUCUUAACUGGGCGUUAAGUUGCAGGGUAUAGACCCGAAACCCGGUGAUCUAGCCAUGGGCAGGUUGAAGGUUGGGUAACACUAACUGGAGGACCGAACCGACUAAUGUUGAAAAAUUAGCGGAUGACUUGUGGCUGGGGGUGAAAGGCCAAUCAAACCGGGAGAUAGCUGGUUCUCCCCGAAAGCUAUUUAGGUAGCGCCUCGUGAAUUCAUCUCCGGGGGUAGAGCACUGUUUCGGCAAGGGGGUCAUCCCGACUUACCAACCCGAUGCAAACUGCGAAUACCGGAGAAUGUUAUCACGGGAGACACACGGCGGGUGCUAACGUCCGUCGUGAAGAGGGAAACAACCCAGACCGCCAGCUAAGGUCCCAAAGUCAUGGUUAAGUGGGAAACGAUGUGGGAAGGCCCAGACAGCCAGGAUGUUGGCUUAGAAGCAGCCAUCAUUUAAAGAAAGCGUAAUAGCUCACUGGUCGAGUCGGCCUGCGCGGAAGAUGUAACGGGGCUAAACCAUGCACCGAAGCUGCGGCAGCGACGCUUAUGCGUUGUUGGGUAGGGGAGCGUUCUGUAAGCCUGUGAAGGUGGCCUGUGAGGGUUGCUGGAGGUAUCAGAAGUGCGAAUGCUGACAUAAGUAACGAUAAAGCGGGUGAAAAGCCCGCUCGCCGGAAGACCAAGGGUUCCUGUCCAACGUUAAUCGGGGCAGGGUGAGUCGACCCCUAAGGCGAGGCCGAAAGGCGUAGUCGAUGGGAAACAGGUUAAUAUUCCUGUACUUGGUGUUACUGCGAAGGGGGGACGGAGAAGGCUAUGUUGGCCGGGCGACGGUUGUCCCGGUUUAAGCGUGUAGGCUGGUUUUCCAGGCAAAUCCGGAAAAUCAAGGCUGAGGCGUGAUGACGAGGCACUACGGUGCUGAAGCGACAAAUGCCCUGCUUCCAGGAAAAGCCUCUAAGCAUCAGGUAACAUUAAAUCGUACCCCAAACCGACACAGGUGGUCAGGUAGAGAAUACCAAGGCGCUUGAGAGAACUCGGGUGAAGGAACUAGGCAAAAUGGUGCCGUAACUUCGGGAGAAGGCACGCUGAUAUGUAGGUGAAGCGACUUGCUCGUGGAGCUGAAAUCAGUCGAAGAUACCAGCUGGCUGCAACUGUUUAUUAAAAACACAGCACUGUGCAAACACGAAAGUGGACGUAUACGGUGUGACGCCUGCCCGGUGCCGGAAGGUUAAUUGAUGGGGUUAGCGGUAACGCGAAGCUCUUGAUCGAAGCCCCGGUAAACGGCGGCCGUAACUAUAACGGUCCUAAGGUAGCGAAAUUCCUUGUCGGGUAAGUUCCGACCUGCACGAAUGGCGUAAUGAUGGCCAGGCUGUCUCCACCCGAGACUCAGUGAAAUUGAACUCGCUGUGAAGAUGCAGUGUACCCGCGGCAAGACGGAAAGACCCCGUGAACCUUUACUAUAGCUUGACACUGAACAUUGAGCCUUGAUGUGUAGGAUAGGUGGGAGGCUUUGAAGUGUGGACGCCAGUCUGCAUGGAGCCGACCUUGAAAUACCACCCUUUAAUGUUUGAUGUUCUAACGUGGGCCCCUUACCGGGGUUGCGGACAGUGUCUGGUGGGUAGUUUGACUGGGGCGGUCUCCUCCUAAAGAGUAACGGAGGAGCACGAAGGUUGGCUAAUCCUGGUCGGACAUCAGGAGGUUAGUGCAAUGGCAUAAGCCAGCUUGACUGCGAGCGUGACGGCGCGAGCAGGUGCGAAAGCAGGUCAUAGUGAUCCGGUGGUUCUGAAUGGAAGGGCCAUCGCUCAACGGAUAAAAGGUACUCCGGGGAUAACAGGCUGAUACCGCCCAAGAGUUCAUAUCGACGGCGGUGUUUGGCACCUCGAUGUCGGCUCAUCACAUCCUGGGGCUGAAGUAGGUCCCAAGGGUAUGGCUGUUCGCCAUUUAAAGUGGUACGCGAGCUGGGUUUAGAACGUCGUGAGACAGUUCGGUCCCUAUCUGCCGUGGGCGCUGGAGAACUGAGGGGGGCUGCUCCUAGUACGAGAGGACCGGAGUGGACGCAUCACUGGUGUUCGGGUUGUCAUGCCAAUGGCACUGCCCGGUAGCUAAAUGCGGAAGAGAUAAGUGCUGAAAGCAUCUAAGCACGAAACUUGCCCCGAGAUGAGUUCUCCCUGA